GACGUAGGGCGCGAGCGUUGUCCGGAUUUAUUGGGCGUAAAGAGCUCGUAGGCGGUUGAGUAAGUCGGGUGUGAAAACUCUGGGCUUAACCCAGAGCCGCCACCCGAUACUGCUCUGACUUGAGUUCGGUAGGGGAGCAGGGAAUUCCUAGUGUAGCGGUGAAAUGCGCAGAUAUUAGGAGGAAUACCGGUGGCGAAAGCGACUCUCUGGACGGCAACUGACGCUGAGGCACGAAAGCGUGGGGAGCAAACAGG
Molecule: ribosomal RNA, 254 nt
Filed under: uncultured bacterium
Lineage: Bacteria
Description: partial 16S ribosomal RNA
Rfam family: Bacterial small subunit ribosomal RNA
Source: RNAcentral